This 380-nucleotide ribosomal RNA is filed under the name uncultured cyanobacterium. Its description in RNAcentral is "bacterial SSU rRNA". It matches the Rfam family "Bacterial small subunit ribosomal RNA", at positions 376 to 770 of the family's 1533-position model. The record is from RNAcentral. Lineage: Bacteria; Bacillati; Cyanobacteriota.
CGAAAGCCUGACGGAGCAAGACCGCGUGGGGGAGGAAAGCCUUUGGGUUGUAAACCCCUUUUCUCAGGGAAGAAGAAAGUGACGGUACCUGAGGAAUCAGCCUCGGCUAACUCCGUGCCAGCAGCCGCGGUAAUACGGAGGAUGCAAGCGUUAUCCGGAAUUAUUGGGCGUAAAGCGUCCGUAGGCGGUUUAGAAAGUCCGUUGUUAAAGCCCACAGCUCAACUGUGGAUGGGCAAUGGAAACUACUAGACUAGAGAGUGGUAGUGGUAGAGGGAAUUCCUAGUGUAGCGGUGAAAUGCGUAGAUAUUAGGAAGAACACCAGUGGCGAAGGCGCUCUACUGGGCCAUUACUGACGCUGAUGGACGAAAGCUAGGGGAGCG